This 407-nucleotide ribosomal RNA is filed under the name uncultured Actinomycetales bacterium. Its description in RNAcentral is "bacterial SSU rRNA". It matches the Rfam family "Bacterial small subunit ribosomal RNA", at positions 355 to 774 of the family's 1533-position model. The record is from RNAcentral. Lineage: Bacteria; Bacillati; Actinomycetota; Actinomycetes; Actinomycetales.
UGGGGAAUAUUGCACAAUGGGCGAAAGCCUGAUGCAGCGACGCCGCGUGGGGGAUGAAGGCCUUCGGGUUGUAAACCCCUUUCAGUAGGGAAGAAGCGAAAGUGACGGUACCUGCAGAAGAAGCGCCGGCUAACUACGUGCCAGCAGCCGCGGUAAUACGUAGGGCGCAAGCGUUGUCCGGAAUUAUUGGGCGUAAAGAGCUCGUAGGCGGUUUGUCGCGUCUGGUGUGAAAACUCAAGGCUCAACCUUGAGCUUGCAUUGGGUACGGGCAGACUAGAGUGCGGUAGGGGUGACUGGAAUUCCUGGUGUAGCGGUGGAAUGCGCAGAUAUCAGGAGGAACACCGAUGGCGAAGGCAGGUCACUGGGCCGCAACUGACGCUGAGGAGCGAAAGCAUGGGGAGCGAACA